CCUUGGUUAAAGGCAGAAUGUCGCAUUGCAGGGCGCCGUGUCGGUGGAUGCGUACCUCCCGAACGCCCGCUGGUACGAUUAUCACACAGGUGAAUACGUCGGAUUCCGGGGUGAAUUCCGAACGCUGCCCUCGCCUUUGGAGCACAUCAACCUCCACGUCCGCGGGGGUUUCAUCCUCCCCCAGCAGAGCCCCGCCAACAACACGGCCUACAGCCGAAAGAAUCCAUUGGCUCUUCUGGUGGCUCUGAAUGACAGCCAAGAGGCGGAGGGGCAGCUCUACUGGGAUGACGGCGUGAGAAUCGAUGCCUACGAGGACGGCGCCUAUCUGCUGACCUCCUUCAUUGCUCGUCAGGUUGGGG
Molecule: long non-coding RNA, 359 nt
Organism: Lagopus leucura (white-tailed ptarmigan)
Lineage: Eukaryota; Metazoa; Chordata; Aves; Galliformes; Phasianidae
Exons: 4
Source: RefSeq, a predicted model, not a curated record